CAACAAGCGGAGUUAAAUAAAAAAAACACAGUAAUACGCCAUUUUGAUAGUAUUGUAAAAGUUUCCCGCUUUACGUUUGUGUUGUUAAAAAUAAAGGUAUAAUCAUAGUACAUACAUUGUAACCACAACAUAAGAGGGGUUAUUCCAAAGUAAGUGUCAUGGAUAAUCAAAAAGAAAAGGAACGAGACCGAUCUAGGCGUGGGGACAGGCCUUCCCGCUUUUCAGAUGUUGAGAGAGAUCGAUCAAAUGACCGCGAUCGAUCGGAAGGAAAACGGCUGUUUGUUUCAAAUAUUCCCUACGAAUACCGAUGGACUGAUCUUAAAGAUUUAUUUAAAGAAAAGGUAGGGGAUGUGGCAUUUGUUGAAUUAUUUACUGAUGAUCAUGGGAAGCCUCGGGGAUGCGGUGUUGUCACAUUCUCCACUGCAGAAGCUGCUAAGAAAGCACUAUCAGUUAUGCAUAGAUAUGAGUUAUUUGGACGAAAACUUGUAUUGAAAGAGGAAAUGGGAAAUAAUGAUAGGACUAGAAAUAACACAAGAUCUGGUGGAGGAAAUUCAAGGAAUGCUAGAGAAGAAAAAGACAAUUGGGGUCCAAGUAAACCAAGAGAGUCUGAGAAUUACAACACAUAUGGCUUGAGUCUGCAGUUUUUGGAUUCCAUCAAUGUCCAACCACCCCUUGUUAAAAAAGUAUUUGUUGCAAAUUUGGACUAUAAAGCUGAUCGCACAAAGAUAAAGGAGGUAUUCAAGAUGGCGGGAAAAGUUUAUAACAUUGAUUUGGCUGUGGAUAAAGAUGGAAAUAGCAGAGGCUUUGCUGUUAUUGAAUAUGAUCAUCCUGUUGAGGCUGUACAGGCAAUUUCAAUGUUUGACAAGCAAAUGUUGUAUGACCGCAGAAUGACAGUCCGUAUGGACCGCGGUACAUCAGAUAAAAAUGAAUUGAAGCUGCCGGAAGGUUUGAAAGGUAUUGGAUUAGGUUUGGGACCUAACGGGGAGCCAUUGAGAGAUGUCGCUAGGAAUUUGCCCCAAGGACAGAGUACAACAAACAUAGGUUUGUCUGGGACUAACCCGCCUCUGGGGGCGGGAGUGCUGGGCGCUGUGCCCACUGCUGGAGUGGCACUCAAUGGCCUGGGCUCCGGCUUGCCUGCAAACACACUUGGCCCUAACACCGCUCUCGGCGGUGGCUUGAGCUUGCAGGUAAUUCUAAAUAAGGCUCUAGGGUUGACAGGUCUGGGAGCAUUGCAGAAUCAGUUGCUCCAACAAGGUUUAACAGCGAAUGACCUUGCGACUGUGCUCUCAGCGCAGGCAAAUGUUAACACAAACAAUAUGGCAAUGAACACAACGGAUAUGUCAUCUAACAUGAUGCCCAAUACAAAUAUGAACAGCAAUGUGAUUGGCAACCCUGGACUCAGUAGUGGUCCAUUAUCAGGUUUUGGUCCCGUUCCAGGUCCUAACAGACAGGUAGUGAACACAUCAGCUUCCAGUCACCAGAGUCAGAACUAUGUCAGAGAUACCAGACCUGAACAAAAUUCAAGAGAUAAAAUAUCUGAUAUGGUGAUAAUUACUAAUCUGCCGCCGACGGUGACGUGGCAGCUGAUCCGCGAGAAGUUCAGCGAGUGCGGCGACGUGAAGUUCGCGGAGAUGACGGCCUCCGACACCGCCGUUGUGCGCUUCCACAAGGAGUGGGACGCAGAGAGAGCUAUCAAAAUGUUUGACAGGACCCGCAUCGAUGGCAGGACGAUUGAUGUGCGUUUCUUCUAAAUGACAAAGGCGUAAUUCCAGUGAAUGGAAUUAUAAAUGCUACAUAUGAUCUUCAAGACGGAUAAGAAUGUCGAUGAAAAGAGAUAAAGCAAACCACAACUAUUGAGGGUAUUUGGAAAAAGUAUGAAGGAGUUAAAAGAUACUUCACAAUCAUCCAGAAUGUGGCCUUUUGUCAAUAUUUGAUGGAUAGAAUUGAUUAUAUUGGUUUUGACCGUGACUUGCGGGAGAUUAAGAAAUUCAUUUAAAAUUGUCAUAUUCCACCAGGUUUCAUGUUCAGAAAACGCAGUACUAAUGGCAUAUCGAAAACCUGAUUUGAGUUUAAAAGAGUAAAAUACAUAGUAAAAGUGCAAUAUGUCUGGAUAGCAACACCCCUAAUUUACUGAAAAUUCAGUCUACCUGCUAACGAAUUUAGCUGUAACAUGAUAAUAAUGCUGUUAAAUUAAGUCAUAAAAUAUAUUUUAAGAAUAAAUUUAAGGGGUUAAAUAAUGCAUAAGAAUAGAUAUAAAUGCGUUAUUGUUA
This is an RNA transcript of Papilio polytes (common Mormon), 2270 nucleotides long. It is a transcript of the gene named heterogeneous nuclear ribonucleoprotein M-like, with no coding region annotated. Lineage: Eukaryota; Metazoa; Arthropoda; Insecta; Lepidoptera; Papilionidae. The record is from RefSeq and is a predicted model, not a curated record. The transcript has 14 exons.